RNAcentral lists this long non-coding RNA (6941 nucleotides) under Capsicum annuum. RNAcentral describes it as "long non-coding RNA (CANN_LNC011960)". The record is from RNAcentral. Lineage: Eukaryota; Viridiplantae; Streptophyta; Magnoliopsida; Solanales; Solanaceae.
UGGGUACUCAUCUAACCCGCAUAAAUCUUGAUCUCAAACAUGCAAUGUGUUCACAUUUGGGGAUACUGUCAUAUCUUGGAGAUAUACAAAGCAGUCUAUCAUAGUUAUCUCAUCGAACCAUGCGAGAUUAUAGCUAUUCAUGAAGCAAACCGACAGUGUGUGUGGUUGAGGUCCACGAUACAUUUCAUUCCUGAAAAAUAUGAUAAAGUUCCCAUGAUUUUUAUAAAGAAAAUGCAUCAUGCAUAACACAACUCAAUGGAGGAUUCAUAAAAGGAGAUAGAAUGAAACAUAUUUCAUCAAAGCUUUUCUAUACACGUGAUCUCCAAAAGAAUGGUGAUAUUAACAUGCAACAUAUUUGUUCAAGUGACAAGGUAGCUGAUUUAUUCACCAAGUCUUCUUCAACUGCAACUUUCAAGAAGAUCGGGAUGCUAAGGUUCAAGGAUGUUCUCAUCAGGGGGAGUUAAUACGUGUUGUACUCUUUUUCCCUUACGAGGUUUUGUCCCAAAAAGUUUUUCUUGUAAGGGUUUUAAUGAGGCAGCCGAAAUGCGUAUUAUUAGAGAUGUGUACUCUUUUUCCUACACUAGAUUUUUUUCCUACUGGGUUUUUCUAGUAAGAUUUUAACGAGGCACAUUAUCUAUUUAGACAUUCAAGGGGGAGUGUUAUAAAUGUAUUUACAUUAUAUUGAAUUUUUAUCAAGAUCUAUCAAGAUACUCAGACUAGGAGUAAAUUUCUCCUAUAAAUAGAAGGGUUCCUUCAUUGUAAAUUACACAUCAAGAUCCUCAAGAGAAAUAAGAAUUACUCUCUAUUCUCUCUCUACUCUUCUUCUUUGUUCUUUAUUAUUUUAUAACACGUUAUCAGCACGAGACUCUGUCAAACAAGCACGAGACUCUGCCAAACAAGGUGAGAUUAUAAAUCUGAAGGAUUUCAAGGUUAGUAAUUCUUUAUGUUAUCUUUCUUUUGCUACUACUAAUAUAAUUAUUAUUGUUAGUAAUUCUUUAUGUUAUCUUUCUUUUGCUACUACUAAUAUAAUUAUUAUUGAAUUUAAGGAAAAAGAAUUGAUUUGGAACCAUUUAUAUUUUAAAUUUAUUCAUCAAGAACAAUAUUAUCAAAAAGGAUGAUAAUAUGUUGGGUUCAAAUCCCAUCGAUCCAUGCCUAAAACGUUUUUAUACACCAUGUUGAUGAUAUUAUGAUGGCUAAGACAAAAUAAUGGGUGUUUAAUGAAAAGUCACGAAAUUCGAUCCAUUGAAAAUGCUCCAUUCCAUGAAGUGAAUGUGGUAGCAAUAUAUGAUAAGUCUGAAAUAUGACAACUUACUUCAUUCUUGAGGUGUAUGUGAUAGCAGUGCAUAAUAUGUCUGAAAGAAGACAAGUGAUUGAAUGCACGAAUAUACGCGUGGAGGGACAAUAUGAUAAUGAUCAUAAAAAAUGGUGAUAUUUUCACACGCAUAUAUGAUUAUAAGAUAUACUAGAGAAAAAUUUUCUACAUCAUAUGUAUGCCUCGAUUCGUUUCUGAAGUAGCAAAAUCUUGAAAGGGUUAUAAACUAUCAUAAUUUGAGAGACUUAAGACACGAUUAUAUUCCAUUCCUGGGGAAUGCGAAGAUUAUUAAUGCAAACGUGCACUUGAUUGUGAUUGUAUCGCAACUCAUCUCCGAAAGAGGUUGAAUAAUUUUGAAAUCUACUUCAGAAGUAGUAAAUCUAAAAUUUAUUCAUAUAAUAGUAAAUCUGAAAUUUAUUAAAGCAAAAACACAUAUCAUGGUAAACUUGGAGUUUACUAGAUUAAAAGUUCAUAAGUUGACAUGAACGAUUGUGAUAUCUCGAAGAUGUGCAUACUGAGUAUUGAACAUAUAUUGAAGAAUUAGAAAAUUCUUCAUGAACUUUAAUGUUGCUUGUUCUCAUGAUAAGUUGGUUGGACCAACUAAUUUUAGGAUUGGAUCUCUCAAAAUCUGAAAAGAAUAAAAGGUGAAUAAGGACCCUUCACCUAUCAUGUGAUAUAUUAAAAAGAUGCAUCAAUAAGAUGAUCACAUGUACAUUAAUGGUCAACCUACGUUUGACAUUAAUAAAGUUACUUGUUCUAUAUAAAUUGAGCAUAAUUUUCAGAUUGUGUAAUCAAGAUAAUUCAUCUUGAUGAUGAUGGUUUAGCAUUGAAUGCCUUCCAUAAAUAGUUAAACCAUUACUAAUGAGAACAAAGUUCAUGUAUUGAUAUGAAAUAUGAUAUAUUGCAUACAAUAGCACUUGUAUGCAUUAGAUCAAUAUAUUAUAAUUAUUUCUUUCCUCUCAAUUGGUUUAAGGUCAGGAAUCAACUAUUCCAUCUAAUAGUUUUGAUGUGCGAUAUACGAUUAAUAAAUAUAUUAUGAUGUACAAAGAUGGAUUCCUCAAAGAAGAUGGAGGAUGUAUGUUAAUUUUCCUAAUAUAAGAGGGAGAUUAUAAGCAGCUAUGAAAUAUGUUAGAAAUUAUCAUCAGAUCCUCAUUCAAAAGACAAUUCAAGUCAAUUGCCGAAAGUAUCUCAUAUUUAGCUGCAAGUGCUCCUAUUUUGUGUCCUUAAAGGAUAAAGUCUAUGCAUGCGUGAAUCAAGAUAGACCAAUCGAUUCCAAAUGAAACAAGGAGCAAAUAAUCAUAAUAAGAAGACAAUGUGAUCUUGAAAAGCCUACGACAUAACACUUCAUGAAACCUUAUGAGAGGUUUAGGUACCUGAAAAUAAUGAAGUGAUGAGAUCUCAAAAUGUUAUGUCGCAUUGUGAACCGAUACUAAAUGAUAUAUCAUCAAUAUCUUUGACACAAUAUUGACGCAAUAUUGUGAAAGAUUACGAGGAUCUUAAUUCUACGUUAAUUUAAGCAUGCUGACGUAGAAAUAUUUAUCAAGUGAAAUGAAAGGAUGAAUCUUGGUAAGUGUAAAACUUAUUUGAUUUGCAGUCCAGACACUUGAAGAUGUCACAUAUGAUAUGUUGAAUAUUGACACUUGACAAAAUUCAUAUGAAACUUUCUAAGGAUUCAAAAUGUUUGAAGCAUAUAAAAGUUUCUGGGAAACUAAUUUAGAAUCCUUAUAUUGUAUAAGCUUAUAACUUGAAAAUCAUUAAAACUCUUGGAGAGUUUUCAAAAGCAAUAAGAUUAUUUGCUGAAAUGCGAAACAAACCGAAUUGGAUUGGUCCUAAAGUAUCAUAUCUUAAUCCAAUUGGUGUACUAAUGUAUCUUGCAAAUACUACAAGGCCUGAUAUAACCUUUUAAGUUAAUUUGCUAUCAAGGUAUAUUUUUGCUCCUACUAUGAGACAUCAAAAUGGGAUAAAACACAUGAGCUUAUUUUAUUCUAAAGCUUGCAGUCCCGAUCUUAUUGGUCAUGCUGAUGUUGGGUACUUAUUUGACCGGCUUAAAACUCGAUCUCAAAUAGGCUAUGUGUUCAUAUGUGGUGGUGCUGCCAUAUCUUGGAGAUAUACAAAGCAGUCUAUCAUAGUCACUUCAUCGAAUCAUGCUGAGAUAAUAGCUAUUCAUGAAGCAAGUCGAGAAUGUGUAAGGUUGAGGUCCAUGAUACAUCUCAUUCGAGAAAAAUAUAGUGCGAAAUAUGACAAUCUACCUAAAAUUUUAUACAGAGAUAAUUCAGCAUACAUAGCAUAUUUUAAGGGAAUAUUCAUAAAUGGAGAUAGAAUGAAGCAUAUUUUGCCAAAGCUUUUCUACAUACAUGAGCUACAAUAGAAUGAUGAUAUUAACGCGCAACAGAUUCGUUCAACUGACAAUGUGGCUGAUUUAUUCACAAAAUCUUCUCCAAUUGCAACUUUCAAGAAGAUGUUGCACAAGAUCGAGAUGCAAAGGUCAGGGAUGUUCUCAUUAGGGGAAGUUAAUACGCGCUGUACUCAUUUUUCCUUACGGGGUUUUGUCCCACUGGGUUUUCCUUGUAAGAUUUUUAAUGAGGUAGCCGAAAUACGUAUUAUUAGAGAUGUGUACUCUUUUUCCUUCACUAGAUUUUUUUUCCUACUGGGUUUUUCUAGUAAGGUUUUAACGAGGUACAUUAUCUACCAAUUAGACAAUCAAGGGGGAGUGUUAUAAAUGUAUUUACAUUAUAGUGAAUGUUGUCUAUCAAGAUCUACUUUGAUAUCUAUUAGAAUUUGAAGCAUCCGUCUUUUACUCAGACUUGGAGUAAAUUUUUCUUAUAAAUAGAGAGGUUUUAUUCAUUGUAUACACAAUCUUAUUAUCUCUCAUCCUUCAAGAGAAAAAAUAAGAAUCUCUCUAUUCUCUCUACUCUUCUUCUUUUUUGUUUUAUAACACUUACAUUUUAUUUAUUUUUUAAAUUUUAAUUUCUUUCAAUCUUAUUUCUAUUAUUUUUUUUUCAUUAUUUAUCUUUCAUCCUUUUUUCUUCUCAUUUUCCAACAUUAAUUCUUAUGAUUCAAUAUAAUUACUCGUAUUUUUGUCUUCAUUUAGCGCACUAUUACAUUUUUAUUUUAGUGUUUGAAUUAAAGUAGUACUCUCUCCAUUUCGAAAUAAGUGAAUUGUUGGGGUAUUUAUUGGUGUUUUCAAAUAAGUAAAUCGUUGAAUUUUUUUUCAAAUUUACCCUUAUGAUUUGACAACCAAUUAACUUUUAAAAAGGUAUUACAAGAUCAGUUUUUUUUUUUUUGGGUAAAAAUGAAAAGUUAUGUUAAAUUUAUGUCUUUAAUGCUUUUUCCUUAAUCUAUGUGCCAAAAUCUAUCAAUUCAUUUAUUAUGAAACAGAGGGAGUAUUUCAUUAUUGAAUAAGAUAACUUGGUGUUUUCCCUUUCUUUUGAAUUAUUUACUCGUUGAAAUUUUAUAUAAGAGUAUUGUGUUUUUUUCUUGGAUUUUGAAUUUGUGUUUUGUUUUAUGUUUCAAUUUAUAUGUUUUAGUACUAUAGACUUGUUAUUUUAUAUUGCAUGUCGCUUCAAAUUGUCGAGUUAAUUUCUCAAAUUGCCAUUGAACUUGUGCAAACAUCCUGCUAAAGUAACUUUUGUUAAUUUCUUUUAGGAAAAUAUUAUCAUUAAAUUAUGUACAUCUUUCCAAAAUAAGGUGAAACUAAAAAAUAGUUGAGGACAUGUUUGGAACGCCACAGAAAAUUGAAAUUAUAUGUUAUUAGACAAUUUGAAGUGAUAUUGUGACACAUGAAAUAACAAAUCUAUACUAAAACAAAUAAAUUGAAACAUAAAACAAAACAUAAAUUAAAAAUUCAAGAGAAAAACAUAAUACUCUUAUAUAAAAUUCUGAUGAGUAAAUAUAAUUCAAAAGAAAGAAAACGCAUGAGUCUAUAAUCUCAUUCAAUAAUAAAAUACCACUUUAAUUCAAAUAAUAGGAUAAAAAUUAUAAAAAUACAAUAAUGCGCUAAAUAAAGAAAAAAAUACGAGUAAACGAAAGAUAAAUAUGUAAAAUGAAAAUAGUAAAAAUAAAAAAGAAAUUAAAGUGAUAGAAAUAAAUUUAAAAGAAAAAGAUAUUAAAAUUUUUUUUUAAAAAGAAAUAAAAUGUAAUCUUGUAAUAUCACGUAAUUGCACCUAAUUCUCAAUCCCUAAUUCAGAACGUAAUUGAACCUAAUUCUCAAUCCCUAAUUCAGAAUUGGACUGUGUAAUUAUGAUUCUCCAAACAUAUCCUUAACAAUUUCUUAGUUUCACCUUAUAUUGGAAUCAGUGCCAAUAUUAUCCUAAAAGUUACUUUAGAGAAUUAACUCUAACUUGUCACGAAGUAAGACAAACUACGACUUUCUUACUUGUAAAGCUCAAGUUCUAUGAAGUAAGAAAAAUUUAAAAUUUGAACAAUGAUAGUCCCUUAAAACAUAAUCACACGACUCGGCUUUUGGGUCAACAACUUGAAAGAUUGGGCAGCCCCUUAGUGACGUACAAAACAAAACUAAGUGGCUCAUGUACAACAAUGAUUCGAACGAGCGACAUAUAUUGAAAUCAUAUAAACUUAAAACAAACCCAUUUUUGAUUCGCAGGUAGUCAACAAUAAUACCGAAACGAGAUAAGCAACACAUACACAUACACAUAUAUACCUAUAAUGCAAGAAAACAUCAAUCUGUUUUGCUUCCAACUGACCCCAAAUCCAAACAAAAAUCGAUGAAAAACGAUCAGCGACACCACACCGAAUCAGGUUGAAAACUGAAUGAGAUGAUUGAUUCCUACCUUGUUUUGGGCAGCGAACCGGCCAACUCAAACUUCAAAAAGAAUGGAAACUUGCAAUUUUUGGUUUUUCUCACUCGUUGAUUCUUCCUGCUUUUCUCACGAUUUUUGCCCUUUAUCACAAAAAUUGCUUGCCUCUUUUCCGCCUUAUCACGGAUUGAAAAUCCCUUUUACUACUGCUCUUUUUUUAAUCAGUUUCCCAAGCCUGAGAAUAAUUUCCCUUUUGACUUGUUAAUGCUCCAUUUUCACUCGAAUUUUCGGGUCCUCCACCCCCCAAAUGAGAAAGACGAGGCCACCUUUUAUACGUGCAAAUCCGGACUUCAAGGUCCGAAUUUGAAAAUCAAAAAUCAAAAAUCAAAAAUCAAAAAUAAAAAAAAAAUAGAAAGAUUUUGAAAUUUGAAUCAUAAAUCUCCUUCAAAUCAAAGACCCAUAACACCUUUUGGGGUCUGUUCAGUUCUAAUUUCCGAUUCAUGGGCUGACAACGAAGAAAAAUGGAGAGAGUGCUAUAGGGGUGGCAGGUGGUGUUCAGCUAGGGCUGAAAACGAGCGGCUAGGGUUCUUGUUUGGCGGUGAAGAGGAGAAAGGGGAGAGAAGGUCACUGUUUGAGAUACAUUGAUGGAGAUGCGACAUCGGCCCUUUGGGUUAGGGCUGUCAUGUGGGCCGGACCGGUCCAGGUCCGGAUUGAGUCUAAAUGGCCCGGACUGAUCAUCAGUAAAAAAAUUAAAAAUAAUCCUGACCCGAUUCACUUAACCUAAUCAGAGCAAAUCUAUCUAAACUCGAUCAAAUUAGGUUAAAAAAUUAGUCAAAUUCAGUCAAAAAUAUAAUAUUUUUUUUCAAUAUACA